AGUGAACGCUGGCGGUAGGCCUAACACAUGCAAGUCGAACGGCAGCACAGUAAGAGCUUGCUCUUACGGGUGGCGAGUGGCGGACGGGUGAGGAAUACAUUGGAAUCUACUUUUUCGUGGGGGAUAACGUAGGGAAACUACGCUAAUACCGCAUACGACCUACGGGUGAAAGCAGGGGAUCUUCGGACCUUGCGCGAUUGAAUGAGCCGAUGUCGGAUUAGCUAGUUGGCGGGGUAAAGGCCCACCAAGGCGACGAUCCGUAGCUGGUCUGAGAGGAUGAUCAGCCACACUGGAACUGAGGCACGGUCCAGACUCCUACGGGAGGCAGCAGUGGGGAAUAUUGGACAAUGGGCGCAAGCCUGAUCCAGCCAUACCGCGUGGGUGAAGAAGGCCUUCGGGUUGUAAAGCCCUUUUGUUGGGAAAGAAAAGCAGCAGGUUAAUACCCCGCUGUUCUGACGGUACCCAAAGAAUAAGCACCGGCUAACUUCGUG
RNAcentral lists this ribosomal RNA (491 nucleotides) under uncultured bacterium. RNAcentral describes it as "partial 16S ribosomal RNA". It matches the Rfam family "Bacterial small subunit ribosomal RNA", at positions 29 to 507 of the family's 1533-position model. The record is from RNAcentral.